CUUGAAGCACCGAGCAGCUGUGGCCGCUUCACUGCAUCUGUAUCAACGUGAGCACCCCCAGCACACACCUCCCCACGGAACAGUACCCUCACAUCCCCAUCCCUCCUUCCUCCCCCACCCCCUCCCCAGCUGACAGCAGAGCGCCGGGUCCGGAGGAGCGAAUAAACAGAUUUGGCCACGCAAAGGAGAUGGAGGCAUUCACGGGAGAGCAUCUGACAGCUUGGGGCGAGCGGAGAGCUGGCGCUGGAGGAGCGAUGCAGGAAUCCCUGCGCGCACAGAGUGCUUCGCCCCGAAGGAAGCAGAGGGUUUUGCCUUUGCUUAACAGAGAGGAAAAGAAGCAGCAGAUCCUCAGCUUUGUGAGCACCAGGUGGUCCCUUUCCCAGCUGGGUGACCCCACCUGCAUGCCACGCUGUGCCACUCCGUGCCGUGCCUCGCUGCCUUGCUGUCCCACCACGUGCUCCCCAUGUUUGCUUUUUCCUCCAAACCUCAGCCUCCAAAAUCACAGAGCCACGCACGAAGGACUGAAUUUUUAACACGUUCUUUAAGGAUUAAAUUUCAAGGCCUCGUAUAUACCCGGAGAGGCUCGGGGAUGCAUACCUAACAGCAGAGGAUAAGCAUCUAAGAACUGGUAUUUAAAAAUGAAUGAGUCGCGGUGUUCAGAUCAAUCCUGUGAUAUUUAGAAGCCCAAUUCCUGAAGUCUCAGCCUGGGAGAAGGACUUGGAUGGAGCUGGGAAAGACCUCCUGGGGUUGUCCAAGGCAAGAGCCAAGCUUUCAUAGAAUCACAGAAGCAUUAAGGUUGGAAAAGGUGAUGCAGUCCAACCACAGCCCCACUGUGCCCACUGACCACAUCGAGGAAACACAUCAGCCACCAUGAGUAGGGUCAGGGCAAUGCUGACACAAACACCACCUGCAGCAGCACGGGGAAAGCAGAGGACUGCAUUUAUUUUUAGAUGCAAAGCAUUUGUGUUUCCCUCUUUUAUGGAGAUGGGCUGAAAAGAGUGAGAACAGAUGAUGGCGUUGAAUUCCCGAUCCAACACUUCAGAUGUGUGCCAUCAAAAUAGCAUUGCAAACAGACCCUACCCACAGCUCUGGGUCCCUCUCAAGAAGCCCUGAACAGAAGCUGCUGUGCUGCGGGGCUGGGAGCAGCGCCCUGCCUGCACGGAAAGCAUGGAAAUGCAUUUUGAUGUUCCCUUUGAAUCACUCCCCUUUCCUCCUUCUCAUCCUUAAGGUGCUCUUAAUAAAGCCAGAGGGGGAAAAGCUCUUUGGAUUGUAGAUGAGCAGGAUGUUUUCAUCCUUCUUGAAUUUACUCUGUAAUCUUGUUUAGAAGUGGAAUACCGAGCGCUAGAAGUAUCAGUUUGUGACCCAUAGCUGAGAGGCCCCUUCUGCUCUGCCACCAUCCCUCAUCAGCCUGCUCAUGUGCUGAAGCCACCUGUUGGGUGGGAAGAUGCUGUGGUGGAAGCCCAGCCUGGUCCCCUCCACAUGUGUGGGCCAGGGAUGGGAUGCAGCUCCACGUGUACCCCCAUUGGGUCACCUCCUCCCCUCCUGCCCAGUGCAAACCCAGAGCAGCGCUCCCCAACCCCGUGUGCAGAAUGGGGAGUGAAUUCCCCUUCCAGCCAGGCAGUUGCCAGCCCCUACUGCUAAUUGGUGUGGCUGCUCUCUCCUGGGACUGCAAAUCUGAUGGUUUCUCACUGUCCUUUUGCAUUUUGCAUUGUCUUCUGUCUAGCUGAGGAUGCUGGCAGCCCCUGGGGCACUUUUAAUUUAAAAGAAGAAACAAACAUGCAGACCUCUUCCAAUUUCCAGCAUGGCACAAAGCUGCCUGCAGCCCGUAGGGUUCUGUGCUGCACUCUGUGCAUCCUUGAGUUCCCCAAGAACAGCUCCAGAGCCCAACGGCACAGCCGAGGGCAGCACAGCCCUCCCCUCUCCCUUCCUUUUACUCAGCAGCAUCCCCCCUUACCAGCAGUCAGGCAUCAGCCCAGACUGAAUGGUGACAUGACAGUAAAUGCUUCCAUUGUAUGGUAGCAUGAACCUCCAAACUGCUCACUGAAAGAGCACAGCUGGCCCCAGCAGAGCCUGUAAAUAAAGGUAACUGCAGCCCUGCAUGAUUACAGCGCUAAUAAAGUGAUGAAUGGAGAUGACGCUCCCCCCACUGCAGCUGGAGCACCUGUCUGGGCUGCAAUCACACUGUAAGCACUAAUUGGAGAGGUCAGCUUCUUCCCAUCAUUGCUGCGUGGGUGCUGAAGGCACAAAGGGAGAAGCAUGGGGGUGGGAGCAUGAGCCCUGCACUGAGAGCAGCCCUAAUGCCUCCCCAGGAGCUGGAGACCUCCUUGAGGACAUCUCCAUUCCAUUCAGCCUCACCAGGCCUGCAGCACUUCAAUGGAAAGUGGAAAGAUUUAAGAGGCAGCGGGAGGAUUCUCACUGAGAAUGAAAGGAAUCCCCUGCAGUGGCAAAGAAAAGAGCCAGUGCUAGGUGCACAGCAGGGAGGAGAGUGUGAGGAGGAGGAAAUCUGGGGAGGAAGAAGCACAGCAACACCUGAGCACACGCACACAGGGCACA
Long non-coding RNA from Gallus gallus (chicken), 2553 nucleotides. The record is from Ensembl. NCBI's taxonomy places the organism in Eukaryota, Metazoa, Chordata, Aves, Galliformes, Phasianidae.